ACUGCUAACGUCGCAGGAUUUUU
RNAcentral lists this small nuclear RNA (23 nucleotides) under Arabidopsis thaliana (thale cress). Its description in RNAcentral is "snRNA_14269". Lineage: Eukaryota; Viridiplantae; Streptophyta; Magnoliopsida; Brassicales; Brassicaceae. The record is from RNAcentral.